Long non-coding RNA from Phacochoerus africanus (Common warthog), 1414 nucleotides. RefSeq lists it as uncharacterized. Lineage: Eukaryota; Metazoa; Chordata; Mammalia; Artiodactyla; Suidae. The record is from RefSeq and is a predicted model, not a curated record. The transcript is spliced from 2 exons.
UCAGAUUUGUUUCUGCUUAGCCACGAUGGGAACUCCUCUUUAGGACUUUUGAGUAGAUAAAACUAGAUCCAUUUCUCCCCUGAGGUUGCGUUUGUUCUUUCUGUGUUGUUGUUUCUGGUAGAAAAUAACCCCAGCAACAAGGCCCCAGCAUGGUCCUUCGUUACCUGUUUUAUUUACUGCUGCAGGAGAGCCCUAAUUGGAUUGCAAGCCCUCAGGCACUCGGCGUCCAGGGCACCAACCAAACCCUCCCCAGGUGGCUGUUUUUAGGGAGGGACCUGCCCCACUAGAAAGAUGAGGACUUUACAGGGACCAGCAAGAGGGCUUUGGGUAGGUCUGCCUGAGAAAGCGCAUUCAGACUGAUCUGGUAGCCACAGCUGGUGGCCAAGGAGGAAUGGGGCACCUUCUGUGGUGCUCCUGGGCUGUGCUGUGGAAGGGCCGGGGGCCUCUUCUCUAGAGCUCCUGCUGGUCCCCUUCCUGGGCUCUCUGGUGCCCAGUGCAGUGGGCUCAGGAACAUUUGAUUCAUUUGGUGAUGACCUCAAUGCAGUGUUGAAAUGAAGACUUUGUGAAACCUCUCCGACCUGCUUUAUAUCUUCCAGUUCUGGAAGAGGGCCCUCUGCCUGCCCCUGGGGAGCUGGCCACGCAGCCUCCUGCCUUCCAGGCCCCUAAGCAUCCUGGGCACAGGUCCCCAGGAGCCUCCAGUGAAGGUGGCCACGGGAAGCCUGGAGACAGGCCUCGCCUGCUCAAGGCUGAUCACACACCAGCUGAUUACAGAGACACCGAUCAUUUCCUGGGAAGAAAACACACAUCUCAUGAUGGAAACAAUCCAGCCUAAACCCAAAGGUCAGAGUCCCUGUGACUGAUGGCUUCGGAACAAAGUGCCUGUCCCUAGGAGAGGUGGAAGCUGACAGGAGCAUCAGAGGACACCAGGCAUCUGGGGGCUCAUUUGUUUGUACCCUCCCCUCCCUAUCCCCCCUGCUGCUGACACGGGCUGUGCUUCUUCCCGCCAUGUGGCAGACACACUCAUCGCUCUCCAUCGGCAGCCGCCCUGGACCAGAAGAACCUGCAAGCUCACAGUGACUGGGGCACAUCUCAUCUGGAUAAGGCAGACAGGGGCUUGGAUCUCUUGGACCUGGGCUCCCGAGACUGACCAAGGCGUGAAUCCAUGUGCACAUGGGUCUUUCCAGUCUAGUUUACAUUGACUUGAGAGUAGAAAGGAGAAAGGCUUGUGAAUAGUCGAACCUGUUUGGUCUUUCCAGCAAGAAAAUCAUAGUUCCCAAGAUCACUGGAUAAAUUCUCAUUUGGUGUUUUCUUAUUUUUUUAUUAAUAUAAUUAUGUAAAAACUUUCCAGAACAGAGUGGAAGGAUGUAGAGUCGAUAUAAGAACUUGCCCAAAUUAAAUAAUACAAAGAUUUGAA